GUCUACGGCCAUACCACCCUGAACGCGCCCGAUCUUGUCUGAUCUCAGAAGCUAAGCAGGGUCGGGCCUGGUUAGUACUUGGAUGGGAGACCGCCUGGGAAAACGGGGUGCUGUAGGCU
Ribosomal RNA from Cavia porcellus (domestic guinea pig), 119 nucleotides. The record is from Ensembl. NCBI's taxonomy places the organism in Eukaryota, Metazoa, Chordata, Mammalia, Rodentia, Caviidae.